GAUGAACGCUGGCGGCGUGCCUAAUACAUGCAAGUCGAGCGAACAGACGAGGAGCUUGCGCCUCUGUCGUUAGCGGCGGGCGUGUGAGUAACACGUGUAUAACCUACCUAUAUGUCUGGGAUAACUUCGGGACACGGGAUCUAAUACCGGAUAAUAUAUUGCACCGCAUGGUGCGAUAGUGAAAGACGGUGUUGCGGUCACUUAUCGAGGGAUCCGGGCUGCUUGAGAUGGUUGGUACGGUAACGGCCUACUAAGGGUACGAUGCGUAGCCGACGUGCGAGAGUGAUCGGCGACCCGGGAGGUGAGCCGCCGUCCAGACGACUACGGGAGGCAGCAGAAGGGAAUGUGCGGCAACGGGCGAAAGCAUGACGGAACAACGCGGAGUGAGUGGUGAAGGUCUUCGGAUCGUAAAACUCUCUUAUUAGGGAAGAACAGAUGUGUAAUUAACUGUACACGUCUUGACGGUACCUAAUCAGAAAGCCCCGGCUAACUACGUG
This 497-nucleotide ribosomal RNA is filed under the name uncultured bacterium. RNAcentral's name for it is "partial 16S ribosomal RNA". It matches the Rfam family "Bacterial small subunit ribosomal RNA", at positions 28 to 507 of the family's 1533-position model. The record is from RNAcentral.